GGGUUGUGAGGUUAAGCGACUAAGCGUACACGGUGGAUGCCCUGGCAGUCAGAGGCGAUGAAGGGCGUGCUAAUCUGCGAUAAGCGCCGGUAAGGUGAUAUGAACCGUUAUAACCGGCGAUACCCGAAUGGGGAAACCCAGUGUGAUUCGUCACACUAUCAUUAACUGAAUCCAUAGGUUAAUGAGGCGAACCGGGGGAACUGAAACAUCUAAGUACCCCGAGGAAAAGAAAUCAACCGAGAUUCCCCCAGUAGCGGCGAGCGAACGGGGAGGAGCCCAGAGCCUGAAUCAGCAUGUGUGUUAGUGAAAGCGUCUGGAAAGGCGCGCGAUACAGGGUGACAGCCCCGUACACAAAAGCGCAUAUGCUGUGAGCUCGAUGAGUAGGGCGGGACACGUGGUAUCCUGUCUGAAUAUGGGGGGACCAUCCUCCAAGG
Molecule: ribosomal RNA, 434 nt
Filed under: Salmonella enterica
Lineage: Bacteria; Pseudomonadati; Pseudomonadota; Gammaproteobacteria; Enterobacterales; Enterobacteriaceae
Description: partial 23S ribosomal RNA
Rfam family: Bacterial large subunit ribosomal RNA
Source: RNAcentral